CAAAAAAUGUUUUAUUUCAUUUACAAUGAAAAAUUUACUGUUCAUUCAGUUUUUUUGA
Molecule: transfer RNA, 58 nt
Filed under: Hemisphaerius rufovarius
Lineage: Eukaryota; Metazoa; Arthropoda; Insecta; Hemiptera; Issidae
Description: tRNA-Val
Source: RNAcentral